RNAcentral lists this ribosomal RNA (414 nucleotides) under uncultured bacterium. RNAcentral describes it as "bacterial SSU rRNA". It matches the Rfam family "Bacterial small subunit ribosomal RNA", at positions 486 to 902 of the family's 1533-position model. The record is from RNAcentral.
AGAAGGUCCGGCUAACUUCGUGCCAGCAGCCGCGGUAAUACGAAGGGACCUAGCGUAGUUCGGAAUUACUGGGCUUAAAGAGUUCGUAGGUGGUUGAAAAAGUUGGUGGUGAAAUCCCAGAGCUUAACUCUGGAACUGCCAUCAAAACUUUUCAGCUAGAGUAUGAUAGAGGAAAGCAGAAUUUCUAGUGUAGAGGUGAAAUUCGUAGAUAUUAGAAAGAAUACCAAUUGCGAAGGCAGCUUUCUGGAUCAUUACUGACACUGAGGAACGAAAGCAUGGGUAGCGAAGAGGAUUAGAUACCCUCGUAGUCCAUGCCGUAAACGAUGUGUGUUAGACGUUGGAAAUUUAUUUUCAGUGUCGCAGCGAAAGCGAUAAACACACCGCCUGGGGAGUACGACCGCAAGGUUAAAACUC